UGCAGGUCCUUUGAGGGAUUCUGGAAAAAAGUCCUUCCAUCAGCAGGAACUUGAAAUUUUCCAUUGCGAUGAGCGUUUCUGCUCUGGAAAGCAGGCAUAAGGACUCCUAAGGCUGUCCCUUUAAUUCUCGGUUCUGAGCAGCUGACUAGACACAAAUUGUUAAAAUACGAAGACAUAUAAUCUCGGAAUCAAGGAAAAGAGGGCAACUGAAAACCAAGUAUUCAUGUUGCUUCCCAGGAAGAUGACGGGCUGGACAAAGGAGCUGAGAAGUCAGAUGAGGAAAUUGAAGCAGGAAGAGAUGAAGUAAUGUUCAGGUGAAGUAGCUGGAGAGGGUACAGUAUUAGAACAUGCCGUAGAGGGCUGACUCCACACCCAUGCUCCACUCUGCUACACUGGGGAGAAGAAAACAUUCAGGGAGGACAAAGUAUUGGCAUCUCGAGAUACCAUGCACUGCAUAAUGAGUGGCUAAACGUGAAAAAAAUGUAUAGAAUCCUCUGUGGGUCCAGGCAGCUCCCCAGGGCCGCUGUCCUCCGUGCAAUGAUCCAGCAAUUCAUACAGCUUUCGCCUGCUGCUCUACCAGCUCCACACCAGACCCGGUUCUUUGACAAAGAGAAUGAGAAGCUUAGGUGCUGUUAGAGGCUUUUCGUGGUUUGGCCUGAGAGUGACACACACUGCUUCGGCUCCCGUUUCCUGGGCCGGAAGUUGUUAUGUGGUUCUGCCUAACUUCAAGCGUCUGGGAAGCAGAGUCUCCCAUCUGCCCAGAAAGAAGAAGAGAGCUGGAUACUGCUGAACACUGGUAAUGGCGUGUUGUCCCAUCAUCCUUCCCAGACGCCGGCAUAGUCCAGAUGGUCCGUGGUCCAAGUGAACAGAAAAAAACCCUAAGCUUGCUGCCACCUUUACAAACUAACAAAGCAAAACACCUCCCAUUGUGAUUUCUUGUUUCUAUGGAGUGUUGAAGUUUCCCUAAAUAAAUUGUCCCCUUCAUAGAC
Long non-coding RNA from Macaca mulatta (Rhesus monkey), 989 nucleotides. RefSeq lists it as uncharacterized. NCBI's taxonomy places the organism in Eukaryota, Metazoa, Chordata, Mammalia, Primates, Cercopithecidae. The record is from RefSeq and is a predicted model, not a curated record.